This 253-nucleotide ribosomal RNA is filed under the name uncultured bacterium. Its description in RNAcentral is "partial 16S ribosomal RNA". It matches the Rfam family "Bacterial small subunit ribosomal RNA", at positions 524 to 776 of the family's 1533-position model. The record is from RNAcentral.
UACAGAGGUGGCAAGCGUUGUUCGGAAUUACUGGGCGUAAAGGGCGCGUAGGCGGCCUUCUAAGUCAGACGUGAAAUCCCCCGGCUUAACCUGGGAACUGCGUCUGAUACUGGGAGGCUUGAGUAUGGGAGAGGGAUGUAGAAUUCCAGGUGUAGCGGUGAAAUGCGUAGAUAUCGGAAGGAACACCGGUGGCGAAAGCGGCGCGCUGGAUCCCUUCUGACGCUGAGGCGCGAAAGCCAGGGGAGCGAACGGG